UACGAAGGGGGCUAGCGUUGUUCGGAUUUACUGGGCGUAAAGCGCACGUAGGCGGUUUGUUAAGUGAGAGGUGAAAUCCCAGAGCUCAACUCUGGAACUGCCUUUCAUACUGGCAAGCUAGAGUCCGGAAGAGGUAAGUGGAACUCCUAGUGUAGAGGUGGAAUUCGUAGAUAUUAGGAAGAACACCAGUGGCGAAGGCGGCUUACUGGUCCGGAACUGACGCUGAAGGUGCGAAAGCGUGGGGAGCAAAACAGG
Molecule: ribosomal RNA, 255 nt
Filed under: uncultured bacterium
Lineage: Bacteria
Description: partial 16S ribosomal RNA
Rfam family: Bacterial small subunit ribosomal RNA
Source: RNAcentral